Long non-coding RNA from Hippoglossus stenolepis (Pacific halibut), 1035 nucleotides. RefSeq lists it as uncharacterized. NCBI's taxonomy places the organism in Eukaryota, Metazoa, Chordata, Actinopteri, Pleuronectiformes, Pleuronectidae. The transcript has 3 exons. The record is from RefSeq and is a predicted model, not a curated record.
UUAACAAUCAGCGCAUUGCGCGAAAUGACCUGUUGAUCUUCGUCACUGUCGGAUUUGUUCUCCGUUACAGUCGAUGGUUUUAUUCCAGAUUGUGCAUGAGCGCACAGAUAUGCCCCCCGGCCCAUCAGCCCCUCCUGCUAGCUCUCAACUUGUCCUCCCAAGUACCACCAGCCUUCCAGCUACUGUUUCUCCUGCUGCAAGUGCUGGCCUCUCCACUCCAUCCUUCCCCUCCCCAACACCCUCAUGAUCACUGUCCUUGCUCCUGCCGCCACAGCUACAUCUGGAUCACAGGCCACCACCCCAGCAGCACCCGGGCAACAACAGCCUGUGGAUGAGUGAUGUGGAUGGACCGCAUGGACCGCCUGGCAGAGUACUUGCUUGGGACUGACACUGGCCAAACACUCAAUAAUCUGCAGGCCAGUAUUAUUAUGCCCAUAGACCGUACAAUCGGACAACUGACAAAAGUAAAUGGAGUCAAUGUCACCACCCCCGAAAUCAAGAAAAUGGCCAAAGUCAAUAUUAUGGACAUACAGUAUAUACUGUCCUUUAAAUGCCCAUCUGCCACUUGACCAGUGGUUCGAGGAGAUGCAGAGGAAGAGGGAAGAAAAUAUAUUGAUGUCAUUCUUUGACAUGAGUAUAAAUGGUGUAAAUAGUUUUAAAAGAAGUGUUUGUUAUAUAUGUUUGUUAUAUUUUAUCCUUGUUGUAAUAGUUUGUUGCUUUAAUUUUUGUAAGUGUUUCAUUUAUCAGUAUAGACAGUAUGUUUUAUCUUGUUAAGUUUGUUGAGUUUAGUUUUUUCAUGUGUUUUGUACAGGAGCAUUUCUUUCAUUCUUUGUAUUUCAUUUAUUUACUACCUCCACCAAGGAUUGAUUUUGUUUGGUUAGUUUAUACAGUGUCUGUCUGUAUAAGUGUGAGACAUAAUUAAGGAUAACAGUAGACUUUGUAAUAAAUUUGCGCUAUAUUUCUACGUCAGUAUUUUAACAAUUUUCUACCAAAAUAUCAGUUAAAAAUGUAGUGAAGCUAAUUUUAGCUUUUUAC